This 73-nucleotide transfer RNA is filed under the name Myotis lucifugus (little brown bat). It matches the Rfam family "tRNA". Rfam says of the family: Transfer RNA (tRNA) molecules are approximately 80 nucleotides in length. The record is from Rfam by way of RNAcentral. Lineage: Eukaryota; Metazoa; Chordata; Mammalia; Chiroptera; Vespertilionidae.
GCUGUGGUGGCUCAGAAGAUUGAGCGUUGUCCUAUGGACCAAGAGGUCCUGGGUUCAAUUCCCAGUCAGGGCA